Molecule: microRNA precursor, 60 nt
Filed under: Mus musculus (house mouse)
Lineage: Eukaryota; Metazoa; Chordata; Mammalia; Rodentia; Muridae
Description: Mmu-Mir-26-P4_pre stem-loop
Source: RNAcentral
UUCAAGUAAUCCAGGAUAGGCUGUGUCCGUCCAUGAGGCCUGUUCUUGAUUACUUGUUUC